GAUGAACGCUGGCGGCGUGCCUAAUACAUGCAAGUCGAGCGAACAGACGAGGAGCUUGCUCCUCUGACGUUAGCGGCGGACGGGUGAGUAACACGUGGAUAACCUACCUAUAAGACUGGGAUAACUUCGGGAAACCGGAGCUAAUACCGGAUAACGUGUUGAACCGCAUGGUUCAACAGUGAAAGACGGUCUUGCUGUCGCUUAUAGAUGGAUCCGCGCCGCAUUAGCUAGUUGGUAAGGUAACGGCUUACCAAGGCAACGAUGCGUAGCCGACCUGAGAGGGUGAUCGGCCACACUGGAACUGAGACACGGUCCAGACUCCUACGGGAGGCAGCAGUAGGGAAUCUUCCGCAAUGGGCGAAAGCCUGACGGAGCAACGCCGCGUGAGUGAAGAAGGUCUUCGGAUCGUAAAACUCUGUUAUUAGGGAAGAACAAAUGUGUAAGUAACUAUGCACGUCUUGACGGUACCUAAUCAGAAAGCCACGGCUAACUACGUG
RNAcentral lists this ribosomal RNA (497 nucleotides) under uncultured bacterium. Its description in RNAcentral is "partial 16S ribosomal RNA". It matches the Rfam family "Bacterial small subunit ribosomal RNA", at positions 28 to 507 of the family's 1533-position model. The record is from RNAcentral.